This 414-nucleotide ribosomal RNA is filed under the name uncultured bacterium. RNAcentral's name for it is "bacterial SSU rRNA". It matches the Rfam family "Bacterial small subunit ribosomal RNA", at positions 355 to 786 of the family's 1533-position model. The record is from RNAcentral.
UGGGGAAUAUUGCACAAUGGGGGAAACCCUGAUGCAGCGACGCCGCGUGAAGGAAGACGUAUUUCGGUAUGUAAACUUCUAUCAGCAAGGAAGAUGAUGACGGUACUUGACUAAGAAGCCCCGGCUAACUACGUGCCAGCAGCCGCGGUAAUACGUAGGGGGCAAGCGUUAUCCGGAUUUACUGGGUGUAAAGGGAGCGUAGGCGGCCAUGCAAGUCAGAAGUGAAAGCCCGGGGCUCAACCCCGGGACUGCUUUUGAAACUGUAGGGCUAGAUUGCCGGAGAGGUGAGCGGAAUUCCUAGUGUAGCGGUGAAAUGCGUAGAUAUUAGGAGGAACACCAGUGGCGAAGGCGGCUCACUGGACGGUAAAUGACGCUGAGGCUCGAAAGCGUGGGGAGCAAACAGGAUUAGAUACC